This 281-nucleotide unclassified non-coding RNA is filed under the name Hevea brasiliensis (rubber tree). The record is from RNAcentral. Lineage: Eukaryota; Viridiplantae; Streptophyta; Magnoliopsida; Malpighiales; Euphorbiaceae.
UUCUUCUUCUUCUUCUUCUUUGGCUUGCGGUGCACUUCUACAUCCCUUUGGAGUGUGUUAGCAUCAUCAUCAACAUCAAAUUCAAGUUGUUCAAACUCCAUUCAAAAAGAGGCAGCAUGUUCUUCUUUGUUUUUGUUAUUUUAAUUGUGUUUUCUUUUGUUACUAUGAGUGAGUAGUUUCCUUGUUCAAUAGAGAAGAUUAUUGAAAAUAUGGAAUAAUUAUCAUGAGACUAUUUUGAGCUAUCAAUUAAAUCACUAUUUUCUUCACUUGAAUAUCUAUGU